Molecule: ribosomal RNA, 278 nt
Filed under: uncultured Coprococcus sp.
Lineage: Bacteria; Bacillati; Bacillota; Clostridia; Lachnospirales; Lachnospiraceae
Description: partial 16S ribosomal RNA
Rfam family: Bacterial small subunit ribosomal RNA
Source: RNAcentral
GCAGCCGCGGUAAUACGUAGGUGGCAAGCGUUAUCCGGAUUUACUGGGUGUAAAGGGUGUGUAGGCGGGAAAGCAAGUCAGAUGUGAAAAUUAUGGGCUCAACUCAUAACCUGCGUCUGAAACUACUUUUCUUGAGAGUCGGAGAGGUAAACGGAAUUCCUGGUGUAGCGGUGAAAUGCGUAGAUAUCAGGAGGAACACCGGUGGCGAAGGCGGUUUACUGGACGACAACUGACGCUGAGACACGAAAGUGUGGGGAGCAAACAGGAUUAGAUACCCC